GACGAACGCUGGCGGCGUGCCUAAUACAUGCAAGUCGAGCGAAUGGAAGGGAGCUUGCUCCCUGAAGUUAGCGGCGGACGGGUGAGUAACACGUGGGCAACCUGCCUGUAAGACUGGGAUAACUUCGGGAAACCGGAGCUAAUACCGGAUACGUUCUUUCCUCGCAUGAGGAAAGAUGGAAAGAUGGUUUCGGCUAUCACUUACAGAUGGGCCCGCGGCGCAUUAGCUAGUUGGUGGGGUAAUGGCCCUCCAAGGCGACGAUGCGGAGCCGACGUGAGAGGGUGAUCGGCCACACUGGGACUGAGACACGGCCCAGACUCCUGCGGGAGGCAGCAGUAGGGAAUCUUCCGCAAUGGACGAAAGUCUGACGGAGCAACGCCGCGUGAGCGAAGAAGGCCUUCGGGUCGUAAAGCUCUGUUGUCAGGGAAGAACAAGUGCCAGAGUAACUGCUGGCACCUUGACGGUACCUGACCAGAAAGCCACGGCUAACUACGUGCCAGCCGCCGCAGUAA
This 512-nucleotide ribosomal RNA is filed under the name uncultured bacterium. Its description in RNAcentral is "partial 16S ribosomal RNA". It matches the Rfam family "Bacterial small subunit ribosomal RNA", at positions 28 to 523 of the family's 1533-position model. The record is from RNAcentral.